Molecule: long non-coding RNA, 1236 nt
Filed under: Gossypium barbadense (sea-island cotton)
Lineage: Eukaryota; Viridiplantae; Streptophyta; Magnoliopsida; Malvales; Malvaceae
Description: long non-coding RNA (GBAR_LNC001854)
Source: RNAcentral
UUGGUUGCAACAACCACUUUUUAAAUAGUUCUCAGCCCACUGGGAGGGCUUUAACAGGCUGACAGUAGCGACAGUGAUUCACUUUCAUUCAACAAUGUGGGAAAAGUGGUGAUGAAAGAAUGGUUAUUCAUAAUUUUCUUGAUUCUUCGGUACUUUAUUUUGGGUGACAAUCAUAACUGUUAUAGGCCAAUUUUGAGCCGUUUUAAACUACUCAGCCCAGUUACAUUUCCAAAUUAAACCUAAAACUACCCAUUUAACCACCCCAUGCCCAAAACCCAAAUACAACAUAAACCCAUUAAACCCUUACCCAACACCUAACCCACUAAAUUAACAGCCCACUAACCCAUCAAAACCCACUACCCAACAACAGACCCACUACCCAAUUGACUCUAGCCCAAACACACAAGGCCCAAAUCCUUGACCCAAAUUCUGACUUAGGGUUUUAGUUUUUGAAACCCUAAACCUGCUCAGCACCGCAACGUCCCAUCCACCACUGACCUCUGCCAAGGCCACCAACCGGCACCGGUCACCUGCCCCUGCCAUCGUACUGCUUCAUCUGCUCCUGCAAGAACACGCAAACAAUAAAAAAAUAGAUGAAAAAGGGUUAUAAAACCCGAAUCAGAAUGUAAAAAAAGGGGGAUUUUUUUUUCUUUCUCAAUAGAAAAAACGAAGGUAACGGGGGGGCAUUUCUUUUUUUUCUGAAUAUUCAAAAAAGAAACACAACAAUACAAACACAAAAAACCAAUAUUCAAAAGCAAUCAAACAAGAAAAAGGUGAUUUCUAUGUUCCUUUCCCUUUUUACCACUGUUAUUCAUAGAUAAAUAAAAAAAAAUACGAACUUUUACCGUUUUGAAAAGGCGAUCGGAGAGUUAAAACCGAGCAAUCUAUUUCCAUUUCUAAUCAGCUUUUGUGGUGUUUUUGGAUACUACAAACACGGAUCCAGGGUAAAGGAAGAAAGAGGGUUAAAAAGGGACGAUUUCACAUUCUCGACCACCGUACACGGUGGUCGCCGGCGACGGACUGACGGUGAUCCGAUCGCUAAAAUCGCACAGUCCAGAGCAUCGUAACCACCCUCCUUUCUUUUUUUUUGAAAAACCCUAGCUAAAAAUGAAAUUUUGAGGAAAAAGUUGGCUUUUAUAGCAGGUUUAAACGGUGCCGUUUUGCACCUGGGUAUUUGACGCUUAAACGGCGUCGUUUUACACUGCCCGACCCGAUUCGACCCGAACCUACUUCAGG